GGUAGUCCACGCCGUAAACGAUGAUAACUAGCUGUCCGGGCACUUGGUGCCUGGGUGGCGCAGCUAACGCAUUAAGUUAUCCGCCUGGGGAGUACGGCCGCAAGGUUAAAACUCAAAGAAAUUGACGGGGGCCUGCACAAGCGGUGGAGCAUGUGGUUUAAUCCGAAGCAACGCGCAGAACCUUACCAACGUUUGACAUCCCUAGUAUGGAUUAUGGAGACAUAUUCCUUCAGUUCGGCUGGCUAGGUGACAGGUGCUGCAUGGCUGUCGUCAGCUCGUGUCGUGAGAUGUUGGGUUAAG
RNAcentral lists this ribosomal RNA (300 nucleotides) under uncultured bacterium. RNAcentral's name for it is "bacterial SSU rRNA". It matches the Rfam family "Bacterial small subunit ribosomal RNA", at positions 789 to 1084 of the family's 1533-position model. The record is from RNAcentral.